UGUAUCUACUGGGAGGAAGCUGUUAGAACACUGACACUAAAAUUCUUUUUCCUUUUUAAUUCAGCCAAACACUCUUCAACCAAACUCCGUUCUUCUACUGAAGGCUCUGAGCUCUCUGAGGAACUGAAUCCUAAAGCUUGAAGUCAGCGUCCUGCACACAGUUUAUGGGUGAAUUUUCCUCUGGAUCAACAACCGAUGUCUCCACAUUCUUCUCCAUAAACUGUGAAUUUAUGGCUUAUUCAUCUUUCAUUUAAACGGUGUGAAUCAGGGUUGGUGAACAUCUGGAAGCUGUGAGGAAACAUCAAAAGUGACAUUUAAGUAUUUGGGUUGUUUGAUUUUAAUAAAAAGGUUGAAUUUCCUCUGAUGAAAUAAAAUUAGGAUUAUUUUAGGAGACAUUUGAAUCAAUGAAAGCAUCAAAGUCCUCACAGACGAGUGUGUUCAUCUCAAACUAAUCCACCAGAUUUACUCUUUGAUGCUUCUGCUGUUUGGGUUUCUGUAAAACACACACACACACACACACACAGACCAAAUAUAGACAUUAGAACAUUUAUUUUCCGAUUGUGUAAAUAUUUUACUUGUGUUUCUCUUUACAUUGAAUUCAACAGGCUGAAGAAAAUAAUAAUUUUUAUAAUUUUUUUUAUGAAUAAAUCAGUUUGUUUAUUGGUGUCUUUUGAUCAGUUGAUCAAGUAUCAUAUUAUUUAAAUUUGGAACACAAGGAUUGAAAUGUAAUUGAAUAUUUCUUACUCCUGUUUAGGAUCGAUGGACAUUUUCCUUCUUGGUUUCGUUUGAGUUGAACAGUGAAGCUCUAAAUCACUUGUGGUUUUGUAGAUGAAGCGGCUCCAUUUUCCCUUUUUGUACCUUUGUCUUGCUGUUCAAUAAAUGCUCCACUGCUCCAGA
Long non-coding RNA from Pungitius pungitius (ninespine stickleback), 897 nucleotides. RefSeq lists it as uncharacterized. The record is from RefSeq and is a predicted model, not a curated record. The transcript is spliced from 2 exons. Lineage: Eukaryota; Metazoa; Chordata; Actinopteri; Perciformes; Gasterosteidae.